CUCUCUCUCUCUCUCUCUCUCUCCAUGGGAGCCCAUUCCCAUGCUCUUCUUCAAUUCCUAUUGGAGCCCAACAAUUGCUGGAGACACAACCCCGAACCCCCUAUUACCCUCUUCGUCUUCUCUCUUCCUCCCUCUCUCUCUCCACCAUCCCAAUCUUCAUCAACAGUGGCAACGACGACCGAAUGAAUGGAGCCACUGCAAAAUGAAGAAUCUAAAAGAAGAAUCUGGUAUAUUUGACCUAUCAUGGUAUAUUUCCAGCAAGAGAGCAAACCAGAAAUUGGAGGUAGAUCCAUCCAUGGAGAAUGAAGAGGCUCUUGGCACAGAUGGAAUGGAUGGUUUUUUGUCCAAUCUAGCAAAUGCAAUUCCUGGAAUUGACGAGGCUAUGAGCUUUGCGGAGAUGCUCAAUUAUCUUUUUCAAAUUGACAUAACUAGACAUUUUCAGAUGGAUGGAGACCUACGUCAAACUGUUCAAUUUCUUGAAGAAAGAAAUGCUAAUGUUGUCAUCCGUGAUAAGCAUGACCUUAAUGUCAUCCGGGUUCGAGAGUGUUUAGUCAUGGACAACUGUACGUGGCCCUAUCUAGAUGCACAUCUUUUGAUCGUACAAGUGUCUUCCUUCCCAACGAUGAGCUAGAUUCUACUACAAAUAUUAUUUAUCUUGAAAUUUUGUUAUAGUGUUACUUAUGGAUCAAAUCACUUUUGUCAAAAGGAUUGGGUUAAAAAAUAUAUGGACCUCAAAAAGAUAAAUACAAUUAGAUUGCUUUGACAGGGAUGUAACAAGAUUGUCGCGCAUACUUCUCAUUGGAGAUAUAUAGAAGUUGAAACAAAUACGUUUUGGAAAGUGAUGAGGCGCUCUUAGGAAUUCUAAGAAAGAACAAGUUUGAAGAUCAUAUUUAUUUUUGUAAAAAGCGUACAUAUGCUAGCUACGAUCUAGAUUUUGUAAAGUUUCAUAUCGAUGUAAAUUUUAGUUUCGUAAAGCCUUUUAUCUAUGUGCAAUUUAUAAAUAAGUUCAGAUGUAUAUUAUAUAAUAUUUAUUUGAAUUA
Camellia sinensis is the source of this 1040-nucleotide non-coding RNA. NCBI's taxonomy places the organism in Eukaryota, Viridiplantae, Streptophyta, Magnoliopsida, Ericales, Theaceae. The record is from RefSeq and is a predicted model, not a curated record.